GACGAACGCUGGCGGCGUGCUUAACACAUGCAAGUCGAGCGGAAAGGCCUCUUCGGGGGUACUCGAGCGGCGAACGGGUGAGUAACACGUGAGUAAUCUGCCCUUGGCUUUGGGAUAACUACCGGAAACGGUGGCUAAUACCGGAUACGACCAGCUCCUGCAUGGGGUGUUGGUGGAAAGUUUUUUCGGCCAGGGAUGUGCUCGCGGCCUAUCAGCUUGUUGGUGGGGUAAUGGCCUACCAAGGCUUCGACGGGUAGCCGGCCUGAGAGGGUGACCGGCCACACUGGGACUGAGACACGGCCCAGACUCCUACGGGAGGCAGCAGUGGGGAAUAUUGGACAAUGGGCGGAAGCCUGAUCCAGCAACGCCGCGUGAGGGAUGACGGCCUUCGGGUUGUAAACCUCUUUCAGUACCGACGAAGCGAAAGUGACGGUAGGUGCAGAAGAAGGACCGGCCAACUACGUGCCAGCCGCCGCAGUAAUAC
RNAcentral lists this ribosomal RNA (484 nucleotides) under uncultured bacterium. RNAcentral describes it as "bacterial SSU rRNA". It matches the Rfam family "Bacterial small subunit ribosomal RNA", at positions 28 to 526 of the family's 1533-position model. The record is from RNAcentral.